AAUAAAGUAAGCUAAAAUUUAAGCUGUUGGGUUCAUACCCCAAAAAUGAAUGUGUAAUUAUUCCUUUAUUA
RNAcentral lists this transfer RNA (71 nucleotides) under Sepietta obscura. Its description in RNAcentral is "tRNA-Met". It matches the Rfam family "tRNA". From Rfam's summary of the family: Transfer RNA (tRNA) molecules are approximately 80 nucleotides in length. The record is from RNAcentral. Lineage: Eukaryota; Metazoa; Mollusca; Cephalopoda; Sepiida; Sepiolidae.